Molecule: non-coding RNA, 123 nt
Organism: Gossypium hirsutum (cotton)
Lineage: Eukaryota; Viridiplantae; Streptophyta; Magnoliopsida; Malvales; Malvaceae
Source: Rfam
AAUAGAAGAAUGACAAAUCAGAUUUUUCUCCUGAUUUUUAAUUUUUUCCUCUUGAAAAAAUUCAAAUUCAACUUAAAAAUGCUGAGAAUCAGGAGGAAAAAUAUGAUUUGUCAUUCUCCUAUU